AUUGAACGCUGGCGGCAUGCCUUACACAUGCAAGUCGAACGGUAACAGGUCUUCGGAUGCUGACGAGUGGCGAACGGGUGAGUAAUACAUCGGAACGUACCCAGACGUGGGGGAUAACGAGGCGAAAGCUUUGCUAAUACCGCAUACGAUCUAAGGAUGAAAGCAGGGGACCGCAAGGCCUUGCGCGUUUGGAGCGGCCGAUGGCAGAUUAGGUAGUUGGUGGGAUAAAAGCUUACCAAGCCGACGAUCUGUAGCUGGUCUGAGAGGACGACCAGCCACACUGGGACUGAGACACGGCCCAGACUCCUACGGGAGGCAGCAGUGGGGAAUUUUGGACAAUGGGCGAAAGCCUGAUCCAGCAAUGCCGCGUGCAGGAUGAAGGCCUUCGGGUUGUAAACUGCUUUUGUACGGAACGAAAAGGCUCUGGCUAAUACCUGGGGCACAUGACGGUACCGUAAGAAUAAGCACCGGCUAACUACGUG
RNAcentral lists this ribosomal RNA (482 nucleotides) under uncultured bacterium. RNAcentral describes it as "partial 16S ribosomal RNA". It matches the Rfam family "Bacterial small subunit ribosomal RNA", at positions 30 to 507 of the family's 1533-position model. The record is from RNAcentral.